CCGCGGGAUUAGAGUUUGAUCCUGGCUCAGAACGAACGCUGGCGGCAGGCUUAACACAUGCAAGUCGAACGCUCCUAGCAAUAGGGGAGUGGCAGACGGGUGAGUAACGCGUGGGAACAUACCCUCCGGUUCGGAAUAACUCAGGGAAACUUGAGCUAAUACCGGAUACGGCCUUUAGUCGAAGGAUUGGCGGCGAAAGAUUUAUCGCCGGAGGAUUGGCCCGCGUCCGAUUAGCUAGUUGGUGUGGUAAUGGCGCACCAAGGCGACGAUCGGUAGCUGGUCUGAGAGGAUGAUCAGCCACAUUGGGACUGAGACACGGCCCAAACUCCUACGGGAGGCAGCAGUGGGGAAUAUUGGACAAUGGGCGCAAGCCUGAUCCAGCCAUGCCGCGUGAGUGAUGACGGCCUUAGGGUUGUAAAGCUCUUUCGCUCGGGACGAUAAUGACGGUACCGAGAUAAGAAGCCCCGGCUAGCUUCGUGCCAGCAGCCGCGGUAAUACGAAGGGGGCUAGCGUUGUUCGGAAUUACUGGGCGUAAAGCGCGUGUAGGCGGGCUUUUAAGUCAGGGGUGAAAUGCCGAGGCUCAACCUCGGAACUGCCUUUGAUACUGGAAGUCUUGAGUCCGGGAGAGGUGAGUGGAACUGCGAGUGUAGAGGUGAAAUUCGUAGAUAUUCGCAAGAACACCAGUGGCGAAGGCGGCUCACUGGCCCGGAACUGACGCUGAGACGCGAAAGCGUGGGGAGCAAACAGGAUUAGAUACCCUGGUAGUCCACGCCGUAAACGAUGGAUGCUAGCCGUUGGGGAGCUUGCUCUUCAGUGGCGCCGCUAACGCAUUAAGCAUC
Molecule: ribosomal RNA, 839 nt
Filed under: uncultured Alphaproteobacteria bacterium
Lineage: Bacteria; Pseudomonadati; Pseudomonadota; Alphaproteobacteria
Description: bacterial SSU rRNA
Rfam family: Bacterial small subunit ribosomal RNA
Source: RNAcentral